Molecule: ribosomal RNA, 508 nt
Filed under: uncultured bacterium
Lineage: Bacteria
Description: partial 16S ribosomal RNA
Rfam family: Bacterial small subunit ribosomal RNA
Source: RNAcentral
AUUGAACGCUGGCGGCAGGCCUAACACAUGCAAGUCGAGCGGCAGCGGGAAAGUAGCUUGCUACUUUUGCCGGCGAGCGGCGGACGGGUGAGUAAUGCCUGGGAAAUUGCCCAGUCGAGGGGGAUAACAGUUGGAAACGACUGCUAAUACCGCAUACGCCCUACGGGGGAAAGCAGGGGACCUUCGGGCCUUGCGCGAUUGGAUAUGCCCAGGUGGGAUUAGCUAGUUGGGGAGGUAAUGGCUCACCAAGGCGACGAUCCCUAGCUGGGCUGAGAGGAUGAUCAGCCACACUGGAACUGAGACACGGUCCAGACUCCUACGGGAGGCAGCAGUGGGGAAUAUUGCACAAUGGGGGAAACCCUGAUGCAGCCAUGCCGCGUGUGUGAAGAAGGCCUUCGGGUUGUAAAGCACUUUCAGCGAGGAGGAAAGGUUGAUGCCUAAUACGUAUCAACUGUGACGUUACUCGCAGAAGAAGCACCGGCUAACUCCGUGCCAGCAGCCGCCGUAA